Molecule: ribosomal RNA, 680 nt
Filed under: Streptomyces chromofuscus
Lineage: Bacteria; Bacillati; Actinomycetota; Actinomycetes; Kitasatosporales; Streptomycetaceae
Description: bacterial SSU rRNA
Rfam family: Bacterial small subunit ribosomal RNA
Source: RNAcentral
GGCGAACGGGUGAGUAACACGUGGGCAAUCUGCCCUGCACUCUGGGACAAGCCCUGGAAACGGGGUCUAAUACCGGAUACUGAGCCACUUGGGCAUCCAAGUGGUUCGAAAGCUCCGGCGGUGCAGGAUGAGCCCGCGGCCUAUCAGCUUGUUGGUGAGGUAAUGGCUCACCAAGGCGACGACGGGUAGCCGGCCUGAGAGGGCGACCGGCCACACUGGGACUGAGACACGGCCCAGACUCCUACGGGAGGCAGCAGUGGGGAAUAUUGCACAAUGGGCGAAAGCCUGAUGCAGCGACGCCGCGUGAGGGAUGACGGCCUUCGGGUUGUAAACCUCUUUCAGCAGGGAAGAAGCGAAAGUGACGGUACCUGCAGAAGAAGCGCCGGCUAACUACGUGCCAGCAGCCGCGGUAAUACGUAGGGCGCAAGCGUUGUCCGGAAUUAUUGGGCGUAAAGAGCUCGUAGGCGGCUUGUCACGUCGGUUGUGAAAGCCCGGGGCUUAACCCCGGGUCUGCAGUCGAUACGGGCAGGCUAGAGUUCGGUAGGGGAGAUCGGAAUUCCUGGUGUAGCGGUGAAAUGCGCAGAUAUCAGGAGGAACACCGGUGGCGAAGGCGGAUCUCUGGGCCGAUACUGACGCUGAGGAGCGAAAGCGUGGGGAGCGAACAGGAUUAGAUACCCUGG